RNAcentral lists this transfer RNA (65 nucleotides) under Iphisa elegans. RNAcentral's name for it is "tRNA-Gly". Lineage: Eukaryota; Metazoa; Chordata; Lepidosauria; Squamata; Gymnophthalmidae. The record is from RNAcentral.
CUUUUCUAGUAUAACUAUUACCUGUGACUUCCAAUCACUAAAUCUUGAAACAUCAAGGAAAAGUA